UGCAGCAGAGCUCACUGGAGGGUGGCCCUACUGCAUUUUCCGUGCCCUGCUAUAUGCUGUGUACCACAGGAGCAAGCAGAGAAAAACACUGGAAACAAGCCCUGUUUUCCUUCAGUGUUUCCUAGAGCCAUCUGCUGACAACACGAACAUUGGGCAUCUGACAGAGGAGAAAUAUUUAUAAGGUUUAGCUCCAGUAUCACAGGCAGAGCAAUGGAGGAUGGAUUUGGAGCUGCAAGGCAAUAAACUGGUAACUGAACAAAGCUUUGUGAGGUUGGAGGUAACUGCUAUUGAAGAAAUGCUUCAGGCCCUGGUCAACACAACGAAAGACAAUGAACAGAAAUCGCCAUUUGAUGUGAAGAGUGACUGUAAAGGAAGACAAGAAGAAGGCACAAGGAGAUUUGCUCCAAACUAGUUCUUCCCAUAAAAUCUCUGCCCCGGCCAGUUGCAGUGGCUCACGUCUGUAAUCCCAGCACUUUGAGAGGCCGAGGU
This 489-nucleotide long non-coding RNA is filed under the name Homo sapiens (human). RNAcentral's name for it is "HSALNT0271233". Lineage: Eukaryota; Metazoa; Chordata; Mammalia; Primates; Hominidae. The record is from RNAcentral.